CCUACGGGAGGCAGCAGUGGGGAAUAUUGGGCAAUGGGCGCAAGCCUGACCCAGCAACGCCGCGUGAAGGAAGAAGGCUUUCGGGUUGUAAACUUCUUUUCUGAGGGACGAAGAAAGUGACGGUACCUCAGGAAUAAGCCACGGCUAACUACGUGCCAACAGCCGGGGUAAUACGUAGGUGGCAAGCGUUAUCCGGAUUUAUGGGGUGUAAAGGGCGUGUAGGCGGGUAAGCAAGUCAGAUGUAAAAACUCAGGGCUCAACCCUGAGUCUGCAUUUGAAACUGUUGUUCUUGAGUGCUGGAGAGGCAAUCGGAAUUCCGGGUGUAGCGGUGAAAUGCGUAGAUAUAAGGAGGAACACCAGUGGCGAAGGCGGAUUGCUGGACAGUAACUGACGCUGAGGCGCGAAAGCGUGGGGAGCAAACAGGAUUAGAUACCCGUGUAGUC
RNAcentral lists this ribosomal RNA (443 nucleotides) under uncultured bacterium. RNAcentral's name for it is "partial 16S ribosomal RNA". It matches the Rfam family "Bacterial small subunit ribosomal RNA", at positions 338 to 795 of the family's 1533-position model. The record is from RNAcentral.